AAAUCUAGAAAGAAGAAAGGAAGCAAGAGUGCAGGUGGGGAAAAGAGGAUACAGUCCUUGAGGGGACUGGAUCACCUCUUGGGAUCAAAUCUAAGACUGUGUAACCGGCUGUAUAUGCUGCUGCCCAGGCCUGUAAACAUGUGCAGUUAGUUCCUUUUCCCUCCAAAGUGUCAAAGAGUAUUUUGUCUCUUCCGGCUGGACCCAGAAGAGACCCCCUAGAGCCAACAUAUGUCUACAGAUUGCAGCCCAGCCCUACAGUCAGGAGAUUAAAAUUUUGGACAAUUCAUGGACAUUUUUGCACCAUUAUUACCCUCAGCUACCAUAGAAAUCCCUCUACAUCCCACUGCUUGAGAUGCAGUCAUGACUGAACACACUUCAUUUCCUUUAGAAAGCUUUACUGUUCCCCCAACUUGUCCCAGUGUAAGACUCCCCACUCUCUUUCUCACUCCCACUGUAGCAGGUUCUAAUUUGUAUCAUUGUAUUUAUGACAGUUUUCCAGCACAAGUUCUUGUCAAACCUGAGGGUCAUAUCUCCAUCGUCUCCCCUGCCAAUGCUGUGAAUUAUUCCAAGCAAAAAGACCCUGUCGAACCGCCCAACACAAGCUGUGCGAUCAGCCUUUUGAGCUCUUGAGUCAUUUUAGGCGUCGGAACAAAACAAAAACAGGCUUAAAUGAAUUAUUUAUCAAGGUCGAGAAUAAUUGAUUUGUGCAGUGCCGUCAGUUCUGGAUUUUAAAUUUGUUUUCUCCCCCUCCCUACUUCCCACCCUGAAUAUGCAGCGAGGGGAGUUCGAGUUGGAACCUCCCAGGGCUAGGAGAAAACGCACCAUAUUCGGGAAGUUGGUGGAUGAUGAUGUUGGAAUGGGAAGAACCCUAAUCGAUAUUUGAAGAGGGUAGAGUAGGUAGGGUCAGCCUGCAGUCUCGGGCAGCCCUAGAGCCCUUCCUGUCCUCCCCACAGCGGUCAACUGUGACAGAGGCGCAGGAUAUUUAGGCUGCGAAGCUGUGCAGCGUCGGGCCCUGCGGCCUCGGAUAAGCCACCUCCACAAGUCUACCGUCUGUGUUUCGGUAACCGCGGCCGAAGGCCGAGGCCGAGGCCGAGGCCGAGCCCGCGAGCUCUCCGGAGGGUCUCCCGGGCCAGCACUCAGUUCCCGCGCCAAAGGCAUUUGAUCCAACCCCGCUCCAGCCUACAGUGGCCCGACCCCACCCGGCGGGGCCCAGUCACCCGUUCCCGAGGGCCUCCCCGCACCCCUCUGGCCACUGUCGGCCCCUGCCGGGAUGGAGCACGUCCGGAGUCCCCGCCUCGGCUCACCAACCCCGUCUUCUCCGCCAAACUCCCUUCGCCUUCCGAGAAGAGCGAGAGCUGCCCGGAUUGUGCAUCUCCUUGCCUCCGUCCCUUCAAUCCCCGCUGUUCUCUCGGAACAGCCCUAGGAAAAAUGCCACUGAGACGAUGAGAAACAGCUCAACCCACCC
RNAcentral lists this long non-coding RNA (1465 nucleotides) under Homo sapiens (human). RNAcentral's name for it is "HSALNT0010470". The record is from RNAcentral. Lineage: Eukaryota; Metazoa; Chordata; Mammalia; Primates; Hominidae.